This 724-nucleotide ribosomal RNA is filed under the name Chrysomyxa chiogenis. RNAcentral describes it as "eukaryotic LSU rRNA". The stretch from base 229 to 383 matches the Rfam family "5.8S ribosomal RNA". Lineage: Eukaryota; Fungi; Basidiomycota; Pucciniomycetes; Pucciniales; Coleosporiaceae. The record is from RNAcentral.
GUUCAAGAGUGCACUUCAUUGUGGCUCUAACCUUUUUCAAUAUACCUUUCACCCUUUUUUAAACCCAAAGCUGUUAUGUGUGCCUCUUUUGAGGUAUAGCAUCUCAGUAGUACGCAUCAUGUGGAUUUUUUUUAUAGUUCACAAGUUGCAUUACCCCCCCCUUUUUUUUUAUUUUAAAUUUAACACUAUAAAAAGUUUUUAGAAUGUAAACCCCCUUUAAAUUAAUAUAACUUUUAACAAUGGAUCUCUUGGCUCUCACAUCGAUGAAGAACACAGUGAAAUGUGAUAAGUAAUGUGAAUUGCAGAAUUCAGUGAAUCAUCGAAUCUUUGAACGCACCUUGCACCUUUUGGUUAUUCCAAAAGGUACACCUGUUUGAGUGUCAUGAAACCCUCUCAUUCCGAUUUUUUAUUAAGUUAAGAAGUUGAAAUGGAUGUUGGGUGUUGCCGUCAUUGGCUCACCUUAAAUAUAUAAGUACUUUUAUUGAAAAAUAAAUGGAUAUACUUGGUGUAAUAUUUAUUAUUCAUUGAGGAGUGUGGUGCCUUAAAAACACUACAGCCAUUUGAACUUUGGUAGAUAGCUUCCAAACCCCAAUAUAUUUAUAUAUUAUAUCUUUUAGACCUCAAAUCAGGUGGGAAUACCCGCUGAACUUAAGCAUAUCAAUAAGCGGAGGAAAAGAAACUAACAAGGAUUCCCCCAGUAACGGCGAGUGAAGAGGGAAAAGCC